RNAcentral lists this ribosomal RNA (507 nucleotides) under uncultured bacterium. RNAcentral describes it as "partial 16S ribosomal RNA". It matches the Rfam family "Bacterial small subunit ribosomal RNA", at positions 30 to 523 of the family's 1533-position model. The record is from RNAcentral.
AUUGAACGCUGGCGGCAUGCCUUACACAUGCAAGUCGAACGGCAGCGGGGGAGAAGCUUGCUUUUCCUGCCGGCGAGUGGCGAACGGGUGAGUAAUACAUCGGAACGUGCCCUGUAGUGGGGGAUAACUAGUCGAAAGAUUAGCUAAUACCGCAUACGACCUGAGGGUGAAAGUGGGGGACCGCAAGGCCUCAUGCUAUAGGAGCGGCCGAUGUCUGAUUAGCUAGUUGGUGGGGUAAAGGCCUACCAAGGCGACGAUCAGUAGCUGGUCUGAGAGGACGAUCAGCCAACCUGGGACUAAGACACGGCCCAGACUCCUACGGGAGGCAGCAGUGGGGAAUUUUGGACAAUGGGCAAAGCCUGAUCCAGCAAUGCCGCGUGUGUGAAGAAGGCCUUCGGGUUGUAAAGCACUUUUGUCCGGAAAGAAAUGGCUCUGGUUAAUACCUGGGGUCGAUGACGGUACCGGAAGAAUAAGGACCGGCUAACUACGUGCCAGCCGCCGCGGUAA